RNAcentral lists this ribosomal RNA (253 nucleotides) under uncultured bacterium. RNAcentral's name for it is "partial 16S ribosomal RNA". It matches the Rfam family "Bacterial small subunit ribosomal RNA", at positions 524 to 776 of the family's 1533-position model. The record is from RNAcentral.
UACGAAGGGGGCUAGCGUUGCUCGGAUUGACUGGGCGUAAAGUGUGCGCAGGCGGCCGCGCAAGUCGAGUGUGAAAUCCCCGAGCUUAACUUGGGAAUUGCGCUCGAAACUACGUGGCUGGAGUGUGGCAGAGGAAGGUGGAAUUCCACGUGUAGCGGUGAAAUGCGUAGAGAUGUGGAGGAACACCGAUGGCGAAGGCAGCCUUCUGGGCCAACACUGACGCUCAUGCACGAAAGCGUGGGGAGCAAACAGG